UGGCAGACCCUUGCUCUCUCACUCUCCCUAAUGGGGCUGAAGACAGCUCAGGGGCAGGGUGGGGGGUGUUGUUUUUGUUU
This is a microRNA precursor of Homo sapiens (human), 80 nucleotides long. The record is from Ensembl. NCBI's taxonomy places the organism in Eukaryota, Metazoa, Chordata, Mammalia, Primates, Hominidae.